Molecule: long non-coding RNA, 1078 nt
Filed under: Chrysolophus pictus (golden pheasant)
Lineage: Eukaryota; Metazoa; Chordata; Aves; Galliformes; Phasianidae
Description: lncRNA (ENSCPIG00010005693.1)
Source: RNAcentral
GAGGAAAUGAUAACAGCCGGAGUUGGACGAAGCUCUGGGGCGGAGCGGCACCCCCGGCAAUUGGGGCCGAACGACGCGCGGUGCUGCGGCUCCGUUUCUUUCCCAUCCCGUUCCUUUCGGCCCCGCAGCCCCCGCUCCUCCUUCCCGCAGGAAUCCGACGCGUUCCUGAAAGGAGGAAGGAAGGGGUCCCCGCCGCCCCCUCCCCAAAGCUUCAAAGGUCAGAGGGGUUCCCUUCGUGUCAUCUCCGCUUUCGUUUUUCUCCGUCUCUUUUUUUCUCCUUUCCGACCCCCUCCUCUCUCUUUCCUUUCAGAGUUUUCCCCUUCCUCCCUUCUCUUCUCGACCCCCCCGGACAGAAGGGGCUCGGAAGGCCCUCGUCAGCAUCAUCCCCGUGCCCGCAGCCCCGCGUUCGGACCCCAUUCACCCCCCCGGUUCCAUUGCAGCAGCAGCAGCAGCCGCGGCCCAGCGCCGCCGGAGCGCCCAGAGGGAUGCGGACCCACAGACACAGCGGACCCUGUGACUGACGCAGCCCCCCCGGCGCACAGCUGAAUGGAAAGGGUGCAGAAGGUAAACGGGGGGGUGGGGGGUUUGGUUAUCAUCAUAUGGGCGCCUAUGGGACACCUCCUUGCGCGGCUGUGGGGCAGCCUUCCUCCUCCUCGUCCUCAUCCUCCUCCUCCUCCCAGCCUGGCAGCCCCAUCUAGUGGCCCUCCCACGUCCUCUCCGUGCGUCCCCGACCCCUGGAUUUCAAUGCUGCACUCCCAGCCCACCCCAAAUCUCUGCACCCCAUCAGGUUUCCCCGCGUCCUCCAAACAGAACUUUGCCCUAAAUGUCCGCUGUGGGGCAGCCUUCCUCCUCCUCGUCCUCAUCCUCCUCCUCCUCCCAGCCUGGCAGCCCCAUCUAGUGGCCCUCCCACGUCCUCUCCGUGCGUCCCCGACCCCUGGAUUUCAAUGCUGCACUCCCAGCCCACCCCAAAUCUCUGCACCCCAUCAGGUUUCCCCGCGUCCUCCAAACAGAACUUUGCCCUAAAUGUCCCAUUUUUUUUUUUUUCACCCUCCCCCCCCCCCCACAACCCCCCGCCCCC